This is a long non-coding RNA of Astyanax mexicanus (Mexican tetra), 262 nucleotides long. RefSeq lists it as uncharacterized. Lineage: Eukaryota; Metazoa; Chordata; Actinopteri; Characiformes; Acestrorhamphidae. The record is from RefSeq and is a predicted model, not a curated record. The transcript is spliced from 3 exons.
CCCAGAAGCAUUGGGAGACAAUUGAGUCCUAUGGAGAAAACAACAAAGGCACAUUUGGGAGAAAAAAGGUGGUGGGAACCACCUGCUUACCCUUGCCGUCCUCUUCUCCAGGACGAGGAUUUCUGGUUGUAUCUGCAAGAGAAAAGCAAGAGAGAAAGCAGAGGUUGAGGAAUUGUAUUAAUGAGACUGCAAAGUGGAUCAAUCCUGCCACAUGAUGGGCAGCACUGUCUCACCUCUCUGGACGUUAUCCAGCAGUCAGCUG